UACGUAGGGUGCAGGCGUUAAUCGGAAUUACUGGGCGUAAAGCGUGCGCAGGCGGUUUGCUAAGACAGGUGUGAAAUCCCCGGGCUUAACCUGGGAACUGCGCUUGUUACUGGCAGGCUUGAGUGUGGCAGAGGGGGGGUGGAAUUCCACGUGUAGCAGUGAAAUGCGUAGAGAUGUGGAGGAACACCGAUGGCGAAGGCAGCCCCCUGGGCUAACACGUGACGCUCGAUGCACGAAAGCGUGGGGAGCGAAACAGG
RNAcentral lists this ribosomal RNA (257 nucleotides) under uncultured bacterium. RNAcentral describes it as "partial 16S ribosomal RNA". It matches the Rfam family "Bacterial small subunit ribosomal RNA", at positions 524 to 776 of the family's 1533-position model. The record is from RNAcentral.